Scomber japonicus (chub mackerel) is the source of this 275-nucleotide long non-coding RNA. RefSeq lists it as uncharacterized. The record is from RefSeq and is a predicted model, not a curated record. Lineage: Eukaryota; Metazoa; Chordata; Actinopteri; Scombriformes; Scombridae. The transcript has 3 exons.
CAAAAGGGCUCAAAGAUGGACAUACUCUUCAAAAAUCACAGUUGCAUGACUCCGCUGUCAACAAGAUGAAGGACCUUAGUGAAGAAGAUGUGCAUUUAUUGGCCAGGAUCCUUUCAGUUGGACUGGUGGAUGCAGAUCCAAACUACCUCCACCACCUUAAAGGCUACAGGGACCUGAACAGCUGAUGAUCUCCUUUGAAAAAUCUGCACAGUUACAGUAGUUAAUACACACAAAGACGCAGCAGUUCCUGGAGAUAUUGAUGGAUUUGUGAUGAG